Long non-coding RNA from Calidris pugnax (ruff), 5996 nucleotides. RefSeq lists it as uncharacterized. NCBI's taxonomy places the organism in Eukaryota, Metazoa, Chordata, Aves, Charadriiformes, Scolopacidae. The record is from RefSeq and is a predicted model, not a curated record. The transcript is spliced from 5 exons.
GUCCGGCUUGUCGCCGCCUGCGGGGCGGUGGGCUCUUCCCGGCCCCCAAAAUGGUAGCUAUAGGUUUUCUGCAGUAACAGACUGAUAAAAUGAUGCACGGAAGGAUUCAUGAGAAUCUAUGGUGUGUGACUGCCUGCAAACAACUCUGUCCCAGUCUGAGAACACCUACGUCUUUGUCGUUCCUUGACAGAAAACUGAUGAAACUGUUUCUGGAUACUAAUUGACGUCUGUAGAUGAUUAUUCUGAAGGGUACUAUUUUGCACUUCCUGUUGAAACUCUGGUCUGUGACAGCUCAGCUCGCUGAAUUGCAGAAGACAAGUUUCUGGAGACUGAACAGAAGGAAUGCGAGGAGGAACCACUGAAGAUUUCAUAUUAGUUAAGUUGAUAGGAAUUACAGACCCUGUGGAGCUACCUUCUCUAACUUUUUUUUGGAGGUGUGAUCAUCUUAACAGGAACAUCGUAACGGUGGACUUGCAGACUGCUUUAGAAAUUCAUGUAUUGAGCUACAUAUUGACUUAGGAAAUGUCUCAGAACAGCACACCCUUCACUUGGUGUUUUGAACUGCAUACUUUUCCCCCAAAGCUCAUGUAGGAGUAGAUGACCUUACAGAAUCUCUGCAAGGUGCGGGAUUGUAAUGGUGCAUCUUGCCUCUGACUCGUAAGCUGUACAGCAGCACAACGCAAGGGUUAAGGACAAGGUAAAAUCACUUUCUGCUGUUUUGAUCUCCUGAGAGAUUAUUGCUUUUAUGCAAGAAGUGGGGAGUGGGGUUCCUUUUGUGAGGACUGUUCCUGUGCCAGAAUUUGAAAGCAUGGGCCAAAAGUGUUCCUGUCAACUGUCAUACCAUUUGUACCUCUGCAUCAGAAUCUUGAAUUUGGAUAGAAAGAUCUCCAUUGUAGAAGCCCCAUCUUGUGGACAACCAAUCAAUGACUGCUUCAGCAUAACUGAGAUUUGAAACACCGAGAAAAUCUGAAGAAGUUUUGGUAGUCUUUGCAAUAAAAUGGACAGUCUUCAUGUUGCUGGACAAAAUGGAAACUUCAUUCAUGUGGAGAAAUCAGCAUAUGUUUUUUGUAGACUAUUUCCAAAGGUAAGAAAUAGUUAAAUACAGAGAGGUGAUAAACUGGGAUGGAAACAAGGAUGUUGACCCCAGAACUCUGUUCUAAGUGUGAAUCAGCUAAAACACUAACAAGCCUGAACCCUGCCUUGAAUUUCCAGAAUAUUUUCCUGUAGCAUUUUUAUAGUAUAAAUGAGUCUUUGAGUGGCAAAAUCAUAUAAGGGUAGAAGGAUGCUCUUUUAAAAAAUUGUUAAGACAGAAAGACAAGCAAAGUAUGCAUGAAAACUGAAUCUGGAAGCUUUGGGAAUAUCCUUAAGGAAAUACUUGGUUUUGGCACAAGAUAAUGGAAAAGGGAAAGCAAGUGUAGACUCAAUUAGCCAACAUACUUGGUAGGAAUAGUGUUAGGAAGGUAAAAAGAGUGUGAAAACAAGCCUGUGAUGAAAGCUGUUUUAAAAUUUCACUAUGACAUAAGUAUAAUAUAUAUAUUCUAUUAUAUAGAAUAAUAUAUACAUAGAAUAUCUUUUUGUGACUCUGAAGAAAUUGGGUUACUUAUAUGAUAGUUUUCUAUUUCUUCUGUAUGAAGAAAUUAGGAAACUAUGAUAGUUUUCCAUUUAAUAAUAAAGGGUAUGACAAAGUAGCCAGAAAGUGUAGCGACAUCUAGGGCCAGUUUGGCAGAAGUGCCUCCAUGCUAUGGUGUGUAGCUCCUUUGCUACUUCUUAGAUUGGCAUUUGGCAGUUGCACUCCAUGCAAAAAGAAAAAUAUCUUGAGCAACACAACCUCUUGAGAAUGAACAUCAUGAAUAUGAGAAUAAGAUCUUUAUUUUAGGGUGUUAGAAUGAUCCCAGCAGGAGUUUUGAGUGGUGGCAGUAGAAAAGAGAUGUUCUUCACUGAAUUUGUAGGUUAGAUCUGAGUAAAUUUUAAGCGGGAGAUGGGUAUGUGCUUAAAUCCAAUGUACGCUUCAAAAGACAUCCCACAUCUCUAACUGAAAAUUUAACCACUUUUUUUUUUUUUUUUCUGUGAAGGUAGUGUACCCAGGGCAAAUUUGGUCAGAGUGGCUUGCUUGGAAGAAAUGAGAGGAGUAAAGAGGGGUAUGGUGUGUAAAUAGGGUGCCCUACCAGCCCCGUUGUUGGGAGGAGAACAGAGGUUCUAUUCCUACAGGUGGAUAUCUGACUAAGCAUGGUGAUUAAAAAAGAGACAUAAGUUCAUGAUCUGGACAUCACAAAGCCAGGAAAGAACUUCCUAGUUUGUGUCAGGAGAGUUCUGGAUGAAGUCUUCACUUUAAAGACAUAUGAGGUACAAUAUAUUUUAAUACUUAAAAUUACCUGUAAGAGUGAGUGUGCACCUGUCACUUUACAGUUUAAUGUAAAAUAAGUGCUUACCUCAUACUGAAUAUUAAGACUUAGAUUUUCAUCCUUUGAUAGGCUAGGAAUUUCAUAAACACAACUCAUCAUAACAUCAUCAUAACAUAAAUAGAUCUAAAAAGUCACUGUUCAUAAUAAAUUAACAGAUAAAACUAUAAAUGCACAUUAUGAGCACAUUAUUUAAAAAUUCAGAAAUGCUGGUGCCUGCUUAGGAAUUCCUGACUGACUCUGUUUGUUUCUCAUAGCAAUCCAAAGUCUCUUCUGAAAUAGAAUUCUAUGCUUUUGGUGAAGGGCAUCUUUGAGGAGUUGUCUGAGCCAUAUUCUCAGUUUUGACCUCAGUCUGUACCUUAAGGGAGAGAAUUAAGACUUUAGCAAUAUACAGGACAAAAAAUUUCACUUGAAAGCAAGUUUUCCUGGAACCAGCAUGUGCAAAUAAAAAAUCUUUCUUAGUGUGAAAUGAAGCCAUGAAGGGAGCUGCCUUUUUAUGGUUCCUUUUUAUGGAAGGUGUUUCUUCCUCAAGAGACAGGGAACAGCAGAUGCUAGUUCACCCCUCCAGGGAAGAGCAUAUGAAGUGGGAACAGCUACUUAUAAUUCCCUGCACUUAAAUAAUGAAGCAUGAACAAUUCAACAAGAGAAGUACAGACAGAUAUUAGUAUGGUGUGAAAUCCAGAGAAGAAGCUGUAGCCUAGGAAAAGAAAAUGUAAAGCUUGUACUAAAAGGUGUUGGAAAGCAGGAAUUUAUUCCAGAGGUGUCCAAGAGGGAGUAAUGAUUGCUCAGAAUCCCUGCUCCACCAGGUGAGUUCAUUGUAGUACAGAGAAAGGAUAACCCCUGGUAUAAAGGACUGGAUAUUUCGUUACCUUGAGCAGAAGGCUCUAGAAAAAGCCGGUGUUAGUAAAAGCAGAAAUCUUUGCAGGAUUGUCAGACAAGGGCAAGCAUUCAGUGAUACUUCUUACAUCAGUUUGUAUUAGAAAUUAUAGUUUCUUGUAUGUGCCCAUGUGAGAAGGAAGGAAAAUAAUCACAUGAAGACACUGAAGAGUGAUCUGUGGUACAUUCCUUUGCUGAUAUGUACAAUAAAAUAUUGAGUUGCAGAGUAUUAUAAACAGAGAGUUGAUUGCUAAAAGUUGCAGAGUAAUAUGAAUCUCUUGUACUAACAGAUUUUAUCAAGAAAAUACAGCAGAACUGGAAACUCGGAGCUUAAGUGUGAAUUUGCAGUAAUCCACUGGCAGAAGAGUUGUGUAGGUGUAUCAAAUUGAUUUGAAAGGGAAUGAGGAGGUGUGACUUGUGAAUUGCUACUUUUUUAAGGUAAAAAAUUAGUGCACAUGUAGGUUGUGUUAGAAAAGAAAGUCUUCAUCCAUAUCUCUUUAUUAUGCACAUUUUUUAAAACGUUUUCUUUGGUUGUCUCUAGCUUUUCUACUAUUUUAUAUCUUUGUAUAUUAAAUUUUUAUUAUAUCAAAAUGUUAAGAGAUGUAAUAAUACUGAUAUAUCCAGUGGUUUAACAGUAAAAAAAAGAUAGGAAGAUUUUCAGUGGCCAUUGGAAAACAAAGUUUGAUGUGUUAUGCUACUACAAAAUUAAAUAUAUGCAGUUGAACUGUGAGCACCUGUGUUUGUAAUAUAUGGGAAUGUUCUUUUAAAGCUGUGUCUCCAUAAUGACAUUUGAAUUCCAACUUUGGUAUGUAAUAUUAGCAUAGUACUUUAUAUUUGAUUUUCAGCAGUGUAGUUUUUUGAGGCUAGGUGGCUUACGCUUUGAGAGGAUUCUUCUUUUUAAUCAAUAGGAGGAAAGUUUCUGCUCUCUUUAUAAAUUUACCAGAGCCAAUCCUUCAUACCAGAGUUCAUGUUUUAUUGACCUGACAGUGUUUUGUCUUUGCAAUUGACUGCUGCAAGGAUACAGUGCUCUAGAAAUUAUUACAGAACAGUAUUGAUGUUACUGUAGUAUUUCGCCCUAAUAGUUAUUUCAAGUAUAGAGUUACUUACGUUUUUGUGUUUGUGGUGUCAGCCUGUUCCACUGCUCUGCACCUGUACUGUCCCUGGCUUGUGUCCCUCCCUCUUCCAGCCCUAUCCCUUCCUCCAGAGCUGUGGUGGUGCCACAUUGUUGUAACCUCACUGCCACUUGCAUUAGUCACCACCACAGGAUCCACAUCCCCAGGGAUGGAUCCUGGUCCUGGUCCCUGUGCAUAAAAAGUCAGCGAGGUAAGGAGAAGGAAAGGCCCCUGCCAUCACCAGAGACAGUUUGAAACUCUUCUGACCCCCAUCCAAAAGGCUCCAUAAUUCUACAGUUCCUUGUGCUGAUGGAGAGUCAAAAUGGAAAAGGCCCAUGAGAGAAUUAUCACAAUACAACAUCUGGUCUGCAUUGGAAAAAGCUGAGAAAGAUAUUCAACAUCUCUGAGACCGAGAGGCAGCUACGAGGCACUUUGAAAGUCAGUCUAUGAAAAAUUGUGCAGGUUGUGGCCAUCUGGGCCAGUCUAAUGUUGUUUUGGGAAGAGCUACUCUGCUUCCUAGCAUCUGAAUUUUAAUCUCACUUCAGCACAGAUAUGUGGGAGCUGGGAGUGGUAUGAAAGGUGUUUGCUUUUCAUAAUGUUAAUCUGAAUCCCAACAUUGUCCUAAUUAUAUCAUGGGUUUUUGCCAGUCUCCCAAUUUUCUUUUGAGCAUGUUAGCUGAGGAGUCGAAAGGCUUUCCCAGGGCUUUUGGCAUAGCUUUAUAGGAAAAAGGAUGGAAAGGACUUUGUGUAUUUUUGGAAGAAUAUUUUGCAUCCUGCUUUAAACUAUUCCAGAAGGUAAAAGGACAUAGCUAGACUGCAUAUUGGCUCGCAUACUGGUAUGUCACUAAUGGCAAGGAGUUUUGCUUUGCCAAAUUGUUCCUGUUUUCUGCAGUCACAGACUAUGAGAAGUGCAAAGAAGUCGUGGACCAGCCUGGGCAGUAAGGGUACCACUGGAUUCAGAGGGAACAAACUCCUUCCACCACACGCAACCUUGGUCCCUUAAGUCAUAGCUCAUGCAGAACAGAAACAAUUUGACAUGUAUAACAAGAAACACUGCAAAUUGUUUUCCAAACAAAGACCUAUGCUGCAGAUGGAAGAACUGAUGAAAAUUGUUUAUAGUUGAGGAACUAAAUGUGGAUUUUUCAAGAACAAGGUUGCUCUCUCCCUUGCCAAGACAAACAAAUCUGGUAGAACAUCUCAUUGCUUUAGGCUGCCUGAGGACCCACUGGAAGGUCUAUGGACCUUUCUCCACAGAAAAUUUGUGUGUUGACAAUACGUAAGUGUACUGUCCACAGUUGCACUGUGGCAGCUGCAGAGGAAGUGGAAGGUUCUCAGAAAUACAUGAGGGAGAACUGGAUUUUUGGCUCCUGGAACAAUAUGGAGUGCUUUUGGAAACUGUGGAAGCUGGAUGUCACUGCUAUAAAAGGUUAUCUGUGAGUUAAACAUAAUGGUAAUUAAUCUGCUAUCUUUAGAUCUGAACACUAACAACAUGAUGAAAUUGAGCAUUCCUAUUAUUUAGAAUUGCAAUUUUCCAAGAUGCCUUAAUUCCUACAAAGAUACCCGGAUCUGCAUUGUUAGAGGUUUUCAGUGUCAAUCUUCAGAAGUAGACU